Long non-coding RNA from Capra hircus (goat), 405 nucleotides. RefSeq lists it as uncharacterized. The record is from RefSeq and is a predicted model, not a curated record. The transcript is spliced from 2 exons. Lineage: Eukaryota; Metazoa; Chordata; Mammalia; Artiodactyla; Bovidae.
UGAGUUACCCCGGUCCAGGCUAGAGCGCCGCCAAGGCGUAAUCCCUGCCGUAAAUCAGGCCCCUUCUUCCGCUUGAAGGCUUUUCCCCGCCAAGCUAACCGCUGACGGCGGCUGUGGACUCUGCUGGUGGCUCAACGAAAAUUCUCAUGCAUUUCUUCCCCCUCACAGAAGCACUCCCUAUUCCUGAUAGUCAUCACGGAGCCACCUGCUGAUAAUCAAAGAAGGUUGAUGAUUUCUGGAAGUCUUCAGUGCUCCAUCAGACAAACCCUCCCUUUUGUCAUAAAAGCUACUCACCCUUUCUACUCCAGGAGCUGAAAGUUUUGUUUUGUAGUUGUGUGUUUUUUUCUUUGCCACUUUUUCCUUUGUGCACAAGCUAUCUCUUUUAAUAAAAAGCUUUUCUUGGGA